UACGUAGGCAGCGAGCGUUGUUCGGAUUUACUGGGCGUAAAGGGUGUGUAGGCGGUUGUUUAAGUUUGGUGUGAAAUCUCCCGGCUCAACUGGGAGGGUGCGCCGAAUACUGAAUGACUAGAGUGCGGGAGAGGAAAGUGGAAUUCCUGGUGUAGCGGUGAAAUGCGUAGAUAUCAGGAGGAACACCGGUGGUGUAGACGGCUUUCUGGACCGUAACUGACGCUGAAACACGAAAGCGUGGGUAGCAAACAGG
Molecule: ribosomal RNA, 253 nt
Filed under: uncultured bacterium
Lineage: Bacteria
Description: partial 16S ribosomal RNA
Rfam family: Bacterial small subunit ribosomal RNA
Source: RNAcentral